This is a non-coding RNA of Paraphysoderma sedebokerense, 90 nucleotides long. Lineage: Eukaryota; Fungi; Blastocladiomycota; Physodermatomycetes; Physodermatales; Physodermataceae. The record is from the annotation of a GenBank genome assembly.
UCUCGAGUAGUAUAGUGGUGAGUAUCCCCGCCUGUCAUUGGCUGGUGCCUAAGUCCGCGGGAGACCGGGGUUCAAUUCCCCGCUCGAGAG